UGGUCUACGUAUGCAUACAUGACUUCUUUGUUGAAUUUAUCAUUGUCUCCCAGGAACUCCCCAACCUGAGUUGAAUCUAAUCUCUCCUCCUGGUGCAAGAACUGAGCAAUAUCUUCAGGGGUAGUGCCAAGCAUUCCUUGCUCUUGCAGGUACUGAAUCCCCCUCUUUGGCUUCUUAUUGAAUAAGUCAAUUCCUUGUUCUAUUAUUUCCUUUUGUUGCUUUAGGACCUCAAACUGCUCCGGGUUGUCAGUGCCAGACAUCUGUGUGCUGUAGCUGCCAAUUCCUGAUGAAGCAGUAGAAUCCAGGGAAUUUAAGCUUCCAUAUCUGUUAAUUGUCUCAGGGUGUUUGGUUUCAUUGCUGUCCUGUUCUGUAGGUUUUUCUUGCCCAAGUGUUGUCUGAGAAUUGGGAUUUACAUACUGAUCCUUA
This 426-nucleotide long non-coding RNA is filed under the name Gallus gallus (chicken). The record is from RNAcentral. Lineage: Eukaryota; Metazoa; Chordata; Aves; Galliformes; Phasianidae.